UGGCUCAGAACGAACGCUGGCGGCGCGUUUAAGCAUGCAAGUCGAGCGGCAAGGGCCUUCGGGCCCCUAGAGCGGCGGACGGGUGAGUAACACGUGGACAAUCUGCCCCCCGGCCCGGGAUAGCCCAGGGAAACCUGGAUUAAUACCGGAUGAGACGGGACCCGCGAUGGCGGGACCCGGGAAAGGCGCUGCGGCGCCGCCGGGGGAUGAGUCUGCGUCCCAUUAGCUAGACGGCGGGGUAACGGCCCACCGUGGCGACGAUGGGUAGCCGGCCUGAGAGGGUGGACGGCCACAUUGGAACUGAGACACGGUCCAGACUCCUACGGGAGGCAGCAGCUAAGAAUCUUCCGCAAUGGGCGAAAGCCUGACGGAAGCGACGCCGCGUGAACGAAGAAGGCCGUGAGGUUGUAAAGUUCUUUUCGGGAGGGGGAACAACCGUGGCAGGGAAUGGCCGCGGGAUGACGUGAAUCCCGGAAUAAGCCCCGGCUAACUACGUGCCAGCCGCCGC
RNAcentral lists this ribosomal RNA (508 nucleotides) under uncultured bacterium. Its description in RNAcentral is "bacterial SSU rRNA". It matches the Rfam family "Bacterial small subunit ribosomal RNA", at positions 20 to 518 of the family's 1533-position model. The record is from RNAcentral.